AUUGCGAAGACAGGACUAGGAGGAUGCAGUCAUUUUUUAAAAACCUGAUCUUUCUGGACCUAACUCCAGAACAGGUAUCGGCCUUGAAUGUUCCCCUAACAGUCCAAGAAAUACUUGACGCAAUCAGGCAACUUCAGAGCGGUUUUGCCCUGGCAAUCUGAUUUAUCCAAGAUUACAAUGGUGGGAUUGUGUCAACACUGGUGCCAGAGUCCACUUGCCAACCAACUUUCUUCUCAUGCAGCAUAAGUGCUUUUUCAGGCCCCCUGGCUCAGAGAUAGGGACACCGCCACCAUGCCACAAGAGCCCAUUGUCAUCAGUGCAUACAUGAAGAAACUUGCACAAAAGAGAAUUUUACCCACUAAGCUGGUCAGCUUGGUCCCACACUUCCGUGGCAAACAGGAAAUUAGAUGUAACUUGAACAUAACUAGCUGCCAUCUGGUGGAUUCUCUG
Chiloscyllium plagiosum (whitespotted bambooshark) is the source of this 450-nucleotide long non-coding RNA. RefSeq lists it as uncharacterized. Lineage: Eukaryota; Metazoa; Chordata; Chondrichthyes; Orectolobiformes; Hemiscylliidae. The record is from RefSeq and is a predicted model, not a curated record.